ACGCGUGACGUGCCCGUCCGCCCGUCCCGUGGGACGCAUGUGCCGCGAGCGCGUACUAAGGAGACUUCGAUGGGGGAUCGAAGACCC
This 87-nucleotide transfer RNA is filed under the name Streptomyces sp. PVA_94-07. The record is from RNAcentral. Lineage: Bacteria; Bacillati; Actinomycetota; Actinomycetes; Kitasatosporales; Streptomycetaceae.